GUGGAGUUGUCUCUCUCUGUGGGGUGUUUCAGGGUCAGACUGAGGUCUCCAGGUUCCACAUCUUUAGGCAGACAAACUGUGGUUUUGCAGAUCAGCUGGACAGACUCCACCCCUGAAUCCACCACCAACCAGGGGACUGAGAGGACAACAAAGCACAAGAUGAGCUGUAGUGAAGUUACUAAUGGUCUCCUUAUGUCCUGUUACAGUGGACGUAUUUCUGUGCUUGACCUAUUAGAACUCAGUGUAGACCACAACAUUUUCCUACAAAGACUGGAACACACCAGAGUUAUUAAAGGAAAUUGACUGCAGUGGUUUGAAUUAUAUGUAUCUUAUAAUUCCAGUAUAAUUCCUUAUUCCCAUUCCUUAUAAUUCCAGGACUUAGCCAAAAAAAAGCCCUGCAAGUUACAAGUACGAAUUUUGACCCUAUUUUUCUUCCUGUCAUCUGAUUGGUCAAUGUCAUGUCAAUCACAAAUGUAACAAUCCAAUCAGAGAACAGAUGGGUUUGGCUGUCGGAGGGGCACUUUUUUGAACUGCAGGUCCUUGAAGGGUAAUACAGUUUGAAGCUGGAGGAUCUCUAUAUAAAUAUCCGAUAGCAGCUAGGUCCGCUAACUUUCAGCAGCUGUUGAAAGGAUAAAGUUGUGGUAUAUCAGUGGUUAGAAAUACCAUUAUUACUUUAGGAGUAGUUUAACACAAAGUCAGGGCUGACCCGGGACCAUUGCUGUGAGUCACAGUGCGCAGCAUAAAAGUCCUUUCACAUCGGACGCAGGAUGUGCUGCUAAUGCUAACUGCUAACUAAAAGCAAAGGAUCCAGAAUUUGUUGCGCUGGCUGCUGAGCUCUGUGGGUUUUUGCAGCAGCUCUACCUGUACUAGAUGCACCUACUCCUUGUCGUUUCUAUCUCUGACUUUAUGUCCUCUACAAGAGUUUCUGGUUUUUUUGCUAGUUCUUCAAAUGAUCAAUAAAAACAUGUAUGCUAAUUCAUAACGAAGAAAGCUUUGUAAUGAAGACUGUCAUUUCCAAAACACUGCCCCCCCCCGCGGUCCGCAGCGCUGUAUUAAACACGUAGACCUGUGACACAAAAAUCACCAAACUCGGACGACCACAGACUGUUUUCCUUCAUAGUGAUGAAGGAAAACGCUGGGUUGGCAUGUAAAAGGGCAUUUAUUCCCUUCAAAGACCUGCAGUUCAAAAAAGUGCCCCUCCGACAGCCAAACCCAUCUGUUCUCUGAUUGGAUUGUUACAUUUGUAAUUGACAUGACAUUGACCAAUCAGAUGAAAGGAAGAAAAAUAGGGUCAAAAUUCGUACUUGUAACUUGCAGGGGGGUUUUUGGCUAAGUCCACACACAAAUCUUUUUUACACACGCACAAAUUCUUUUUACACAUACAAAUCUUUUUUACACACACACAAAUUCUUUUUACACAUACAAAUCCUGAUUUACAAGUACAAAACUGAUUUACAAGUACAAAACAUUUAUGACCACAUUUUGAGCCCAUAGGAUGACUUUCUGAAAACAGUAUUUCUUAUACCUCAGCAGUAUAAUGCAUCAUAAAACAAUAUCAUUCAUUCACAAUAAAUCAGCAGUCUAAUGUAAUACAAAUCAGUUUAAUAAAUCUAAUAGUUAUCACCUCUUCAUAGUCAGGAGAAUAAUGCAAACUAAAACUACAUAAUAAUUUCACAAUCUUUAAUUAGGGUUAUAACAUGGCAUAAGAUAAUAUAAUAAUCUCACAGUUUACUACCAUAUUUUUUUAUCACCACACAGUAAAUAUUAAAUAAUAUGUAAAGUGUCCAUUUAUCCUCCAUUCCUGGUCCAUUAUCUUAAGCUUAGGCUGCUGCCCCCCAUGACCCAAUCCGAUACUAAGUAGAGAGACCCAGACUUCGCUCUCUCCAGGCACUUGGCCCAGCUCCUCCGGGGGAAUCCCAAGGCAUUCCCAGGCCAGCCGAAAAACAUAGU
Molecule: long non-coding RNA, 1950 nt
Organism: Oreochromis niloticus (Nile tilapia)
Lineage: Eukaryota; Metazoa; Chordata; Actinopteri; Cichliformes; Cichlidae
Source: Ensembl